Long non-coding RNA from Sarcophilus harrisii (Tasmanian devil), 668 nucleotides. RefSeq lists it as uncharacterized. The record is from RefSeq and is a predicted model, not a curated record. The transcript has 2 exons. Lineage: Eukaryota; Metazoa; Chordata; Mammalia; Dasyuromorphia; Dasyuridae.
CAUUUGCAGGGAAUCAGGGAGUGGCAGUGAAGAGAUUGAUGCAUGUGGCUGUUCAUUUCACCCUUCCUGCCCAAAUUUGAUUAUACAUUCAUUUUCUGUUAAUGUCUUACACAGGGAUCUUCCUGCAGCUCCUGAAAGCAGGCCAAUUCUGACCAGGGCAUGAUGGCUCCUCCUCCCACCUUCCUCUGCAGUUUGGUGCCACUACUGUACCCAAGUUCCUUCAAAAACAAAGAACUCAGUUUCCCAGUUAUCUCUGCACCCCCUGGUCCUGAGGCAGGAAUAUGUAGGUAUCACGGGAUUUUUUAAGGUUUUUGCUGCUCUAUAUAGGAAGAUGGAUUGGAUGCUUGGGAGAUGGAGAAGGUCAAUGAAAAGAACAAAUGAGGGGAAAGUUACAAGCAUCACUAAACAGAUUUCCUCUGGUGUUCACUGGAAUGUCAUAGGAAUUUCAUCUCUCAGCUCUCUUGACUCAGUUACCAUAGUAUCUUUUUGUUUCAAGAGGCACAGCUGAGCCCACUUUCCUCCUUGGACUCAAGACAGUGCUUUUGCAACCUCCUUCCAUUCAAUAAGGGAGUAUCCUUUUAGGACACCAUUAAUCCCCAGCUUCUUUUUUUGCAUUAGAUUUUAUAAGGUAAGUAAGACACUCAUAUUCAGAGGGACUAACACAGGUC